Cyprinus carpio (common carp) is the source of this 402-nucleotide long non-coding RNA. NCBI's taxonomy places the organism in Eukaryota, Metazoa, Chordata, Actinopteri, Cypriniformes, Cyprinidae. The record is from Ensembl.
UCAUUCACUGCUUUAAGUAUGUGUCAGUUUCACAUUCUCAUGCAGUUUAUCUUCUAACUUGGCAGACGAGAUGGCAAAACAAUCAGGAUUCCAGACUAAUGGAACAGGAAGACAUUUAUUAUGGACAACUUUGGCAGUGGGAAAGACAGCAGCAGAGUAUCUGGGAGCUGUCGUGGACACCUCUACCUCUGCGUUUCUGCUGGUGUGAAUGUAGCAAGAUUCCUGCAGCUGACCGCAGCUCUUCCGAUGACAGGUCACACCUGGGAGAGCUGCAGCCUGCCCUGGGCUAUGAGAGGCUGUUGACAGCUUGAUUGGAGCUAUCUGUGGUGAGGACUGGAUCUGGUGGAGGGUGUUAAAGGCAAUGGGUGAUGCAGAAACCUGUCAGCAGUACAGAGGUUUGUG